CGAACGGGUGAGUAACACGUGGGCAACCUGCCCAAAAGAGGGGGAUAACACUUGGAAACAGGCGCUAAUACCGCAUAACCAUAGUUACCGCAUGGUAACUAUGUAAAAGGUGGCUAUGCUACCGCUUUUGGAUGGGCCCGCGGCGCAUUAGCUAGUUGGUGGGGUAAAGGCUUACCAAGGCAAUGAUGCGUAGCCGAACUGAGAGGUUGAUCGGCCACAUUGGGACUGAGACACGGCCCAAACUCCUACGGGAGGCAGCAG
Molecule: ribosomal RNA, 261 nt
Filed under: uncultured bacterium
Lineage: Bacteria
Description: partial 16S ribosomal RNA
Rfam family: Bacterial small subunit ribosomal RNA
Source: RNAcentral